GUGCCAGCAGCCGCGGUAAUACGGAGGGUGCAAGCGUUACUCGGAAUCACUGGGCGUAAAGCGCGCGCAGGCGGUCUUUUAAGUUGGAUGUGAAAGCCUACGGCUCAACCGUAGAACUGCAUCCAAAACUAUUAGACUAGAGUGUGGGAGAGGAAGAUGGAAUUAGUUGUGUAGGGGUAAAAUCCGUAGAGAUAACUAGGAAUACCAAAAGCGAAGGCAAUCUUCUGGAACACUACUGACGCUGAGGCGCGAAAGCGUGGGGAGCAAACAGGAUUAGAUACCCUGGUAGUCCACGCAGUAAACGAUGAAUGUUAGUCGUCGGGGGCCUCGUGUCUUCGGUGAUGCAGCUAACGCAUUAAACAUUCCGCCUGGGGAGUACGGUCGCAAGAUUAAAACUCAAAGGAAUAGACGGGGACCCGCACAAGUGGUGGAGCAUGUGGUUUAAUUCGAAGAUACGCGAAGAACCUUACCUAGCCUUGACAUAUAUUAGAACUCCGCAGAGAUGCAGAGGUGCCUUCGGGAGCUUUUAUACAGGUGCUGCACGGCUGUCGUCAGCUCGUGUCGUGAGAUGUUGGGUUAAGUCCCGCAACGAGCGCAACCCUCGUCACUAGUUACUAACGGUUCGGCCGAGGACUCUAGUGAGACUGCCUUCGUAAGGAGGAGGAAGGUGAGGACGACGUCAAGUCAUCAUGGCCCUUACGGCUAGGGCAACACACGUGCUACAAUGGCCAGGACAGUGAGACGCGAUACCGCGAGGUGGAGCAAAUCUAUAAACCUGGUCUCAGUUCGGAUUGUAGUCUGCAACUCGACUACAUGAAGCUGGAAUCACUAGUAAUCGUAGAUCAGCUAUGCUACGGUGAAUACGUUCCCGGGUCUUGUACACACCGCCCGUC
Molecule: ribosomal RNA, 893 nt
Filed under: uncultured Campylobacterota bacterium
Lineage: Bacteria; Pseudomonadati; Campylobacterota
Description: bacterial SSU rRNA
Rfam family: Bacterial small subunit ribosomal RNA
Source: RNAcentral